RNAcentral lists this ribosomal RNA (468 nucleotides) under uncultured bacterium. Its description in RNAcentral is "partial 16S ribosomal RNA". It matches the Rfam family "Bacterial small subunit ribosomal RNA", at positions 28 to 507 of the family's 1533-position model. The record is from RNAcentral.
GACGAACGCUGGCGGCGUGCUUAACACAUGCAAGUCGAACGGAAAGGCCCUGCUUUUGUGGGUUGCUCGAGUGGCGAACGGGGGAGUAACACGUGAGUAACCUGCCCUUGACUUUGGGAUAACUUCAGGAAACUGGGGCUAAUACCGGAUAGGAGCUCCUGCUGCAUGGUGGGGGUUGGAAAGUUUCGGCGGUUGGGGAUGGACUCGCGGCUUAUCAGCUUGUUGGUGGGGUAGUGGCUUACCCAGGCUUUGACGGGUAGCCGGCCUGAGAGGGUGACCGGCCACACUGGGACUGAGAUACGGCCCAGACUCCUACGGGAGGCAGCAGUGGGGAAUAUUGCCCAAUGGGCGGAAGCCUGAUGCAGCAACGCCGCGUGCGGGAUGACGGCCUUCGGGUUGUAAACCGCUUUCGCCUGUAACGAAGCGUGAGUGACGGUAAUGGGUAAAGAAGCACCGGCUAACUACGUG